UGGGGAAUAUUGCACAAUGGACGGAAGUUUGAUGCAGCGACGCCGCGUGGAGGGUGUAGGCCUUCGGGUUGUGAACUCCUUUUUCUCGCGAAAAAGGCACAGUUUUGGUUGUGUUGAUGGUAGUGGGGGAAGAAGCGCCGGCUAACUACGUGCCAGCAGCCGCGGUAAUACGUAGGGCGCGAGCGUUGUCCGGAUUUAUUGGGCGUAAAGAGCUCGUAGGUGGUUCGUCGCGUCUGUCGUGAAAGCCAGCAGCUUAACUGUUGGUCUGCGGUGGGUGCGGGCGGGCUUGAGUGCGGUAGGGGUGACUGGAGUUCCUGGUGUAGCGGUGGAAUGCGCAGAUAUCAGGAGGAACACAGAUGGCGAAGGCAGGUCACUGGGCCGUUACUGACACUGAGGAGCGAAAGCGUGGGGAGCGAACAGG
RNAcentral lists this ribosomal RNA (421 nucleotides) under Fusobacteriota bacterium. RNAcentral describes it as "Fusobacteria bacterium partial 16S ribosomal RNA". It matches the Rfam family "Bacterial small subunit ribosomal RNA", at positions 355 to 776 of the family's 1533-position model. The record is from RNAcentral. Lineage: Bacteria; Fusobacteriati; Fusobacteriota.